Molecule: signal recognition particle RNA, 298 nt
Filed under: Neogobius melanostomus (round goby)
Lineage: Eukaryota; Metazoa; Chordata; Actinopteri; Gobiiformes; Gobiidae
Description: Metazoan signal recognition particle RNA (ENSNMLG00000003654.1)
Rfam family: Metazoan signal recognition particle RNA
About the family: The signal recognition particle (SRP) is a universally conserved ribonucleoprotein.
Source: Rfam by way of RNAcentral
GCCGGGUGCGGUGGCGCGCGCCUGUAAUCCAAGUUACCGGGAGGCUGAGGCUGGCGGAUCGUUUGAGCUCAGGAGUUCUGAGCUGCAGUGGACUAUGUCGAUCGGGUGUCCGCACUAAGUUCGGUAUCGAUAUGGUGCUCCUGGGGAGCCCGGGACCACCAGGUCGUCUAAGGAGGGGUGCACCGGCCCAGGUCGGAAACGGAGCAGGCCAAAGCCCCCGUGCCGCUCAGUAGUGGGAUCGCGCCUGUGAAUAGACACUGUAGUGCAGCCUGAGUAAUACAGCGGGACUCAGUCUUUU